RNAcentral lists this ribosomal RNA (452 nucleotides) under uncultured bacterium. RNAcentral's name for it is "bacterial SSU rRNA". It matches the Rfam family "Bacterial small subunit ribosomal RNA", at positions 76 to 524 of the family's 1533-position model. The record is from RNAcentral.
AAGCUUGCUUCUCUUGAGAGCGGCGGACGGGUGAGUAAUGCCUAGGAAUCUGCCUGGUAGUGGGGGAUAACGUUCGGAAACGGACGCUAAUACCGCAUACGUCCUACGGGAGAAAGCAGGGGACCUUCGGGCCUUGCGCUAUCAGAUGAGCCUAGGUCGGAUUAGCUAGUUGGUGAGGUAAUGGCUCACCAAGGCGACGAUCCGUAACUGGUCUGAGAGGAUGAUCAGUCACACUGGAACUGAGACACGGUCCAGACUCCUACGGGAGGCAGCAGUGGGGAAUAUUGGACAAUGGGCGAAAGCCUGAUCCAGCCAUGCCGCGUGUGUGAAGAAGGUCUUCGGAUUGUAAAGCACUUUAAGUUGGGAGGAAGGGCAUUUACCUAAUACGUAAGUGUUUUGACGUUACCGACAGAAUAAGCACCGGCUAACUCUGUGCCAGCAGCCGCGGUAAU